GAUGAACGCUAGCUACAGGCUUAACACAUGCAAGUCGAGGGGCAGCACAAGGCAGCAAUGCUGAGGUGGCGACCGGCGCACGGGUGCGUAACGCGUAUCCAACCUUCCCGUUACUCUUGGAUAGCCUUCCGAAAGGGAGAUUAAUACAAGAUGGUGUUGAAAUUCCGCAUGUUAUUUCAACUAAAGAUUUAUCGGUAACGGAUGGGGAUGCGUGACAUUAGAUAGUAGGCGGGGUAACGGCCCACCUAGUCUACGAUGUCUAGGGGUUCUGAGAGGAAGGUCCCCCACACUGGAACUGAGACACGGUCCAG
RNAcentral lists this ribosomal RNA (311 nucleotides) under uncultured bacterium. RNAcentral's name for it is "bacterial SSU rRNA". It matches the Rfam family "Bacterial small subunit ribosomal RNA", at positions 28 to 334 of the family's 1533-position model. The record is from RNAcentral.